This 746-nucleotide long non-coding RNA is filed under the name Mustela putorius furo (domestic ferret). Its description in RNAcentral is "lncRNA (ENSMPUG00000025442.1)". Lineage: Eukaryota; Metazoa; Chordata; Mammalia; Carnivora; Mustelidae. The record is from RNAcentral.
UCUGAAAAGGCAGACAGUUGUAGUAAAAGAAACAAGACUUGGAUAAUGAACUACAAUACAAGCAAGGAUGUGAUUAGAAUGAGAAAGGGAACUACAAACCAAGUGCCUUAGGAAUUCAAAUGAGAGAGAUUAAGACAAAGACAAUAAGGAAAGCUUCAUGGAUUAGUUGACAUCUGAUGCGGCCUUCCCGCCAGAUAUAUUUGGGGUAUGCAGAAAACCAAAAAAGGCCGUUCUACAGAAAGGAAACAUCAGGGACGAAACUGUGGAGUACUGGCCAGAGUGGGCCACGUCUUAGCGCAGAACUGAAAGAAUUAACAUUGACGAAACAAGGUCAAUAAGAUGGCCAGACUGGACGCCUGAGUCCAGGGUUGCCUGGGCAGCCUCUGUCGCCACUCUUCUCAACACAUGUAUUUUUCAUGUACUUGUCCCCUCCACCACUCACCCCCCAAGAGUCUGAGGGCUGCUGGAGGGCAAGCCUCCAGCUUCUUUAUCUUUGUGUCCUAAGCUUCUGGCUGAUCACAGAUCAAAUGACAGAAGUGCUGAAGAAAUACUUUGGACCAAUGCAAGGAAAAGGUGAAAUCCUAUACCCCAAAUCACAGCCUUUUGCCAGUUGGCCAAUGUCACAGCAAAUUCAGUGCCUUGGCCAAGUGCUUGGCACUUCUAAGUGUCUGAGAGUGGCAGGUCCCUGGGAAGAACUGGUGCUUCUAUCUAAGGAAAAGCACCACAUAGCCAACGAGAACAUUUAG